UGCUCUGUGAACAAACCCAGAGGUCCAACGUUUGUGGAAGGCCGUCUUCUACUCACUUCAGAAGACGAAUAUGACAAUGUGACCCAUUCCCUGAGAUGUUUUACAACUUGAGGGAAAAAAGUGUGACUCUGAGAUGUACCAGCUGUUAGGCCAGAGACAACCCUCAGAUCACCUGGGACUUGCUCCUUGUUGCCUCCUCUUUGAUCUUUGCAUCAGAGGGCCCUGCCAGUCUCUGUCCUCACAGUACCCAGUCUCUUGGAGCCCAAAUGGACUACGACAGUGCCCAAGAAAGACAUAAGGGGAAGAGUACCAGCUGAGAAUACAUACCAAAGAUGCUGUCUCCAGCACUGCAUGGGACAAGGAUGAAGCCUCAUCAGCCAGCUGAACUGGAACAAGUAUAUUCUAAAACUCCAUCCUAUUUUAAUUUUUCUAUUUUUAAUGCAGAGUUAAUCCAUAUCAGCUUUCUUAACCAUAAAGCCAUUCCAAGCGCUAACUUUUGUUUAAUUAGCACUUUGCAAAUUAAAACUUCAGUGUGAAAAGUAUUUUAAGCAUAUUGGAUGGAACAAAGUAUAGUUUGAGAAUGUUAUCCAUCAUAUAGGAAUGGAUCAGACAGAACACUGUGAAAUCAACAAUGUGCUUUUAUUAAUAUUCCUCAAUCCCAGUCAUUAUCCAAUAAACCUCAUUUCUUCCUUCUUUUAUAUGCUUUGACACUUGGGAUCAUCACUAAAGCCCCUUUCAAGCUUCAACAUUCCAUUUUUUCCCAGACGUUUGCUAGUCUAGUCAAUUUAUUAAGAACUGAAAUAUAAAGAGGUAAAAUGUAAAAUAAUCUGAGUAGUAGAAAGAACACUGAAUUUAAGAAUCAGAAAAUCUCUUUCAGUCAAGAAUGUGUACAUCUGACUUUGUAAACUUGGGGCAUAAAUCAUUUUAACCUCUCUAGGUUCUAUUACUAUCACUAUUUUGGGGUGUGAAUAAAUUAUAAGUCUAGACUCACCUAUGAUGUCAGAAUGAAUUAAGCAGAUAUGGAAGCACUUUUGAAACAUAAAUUGCGAUUGCAACUGUCCAAGGCCACAAAAGAAAUUACUAAAAUAACUCAAAGGAAGUGUUAUAUAUCAAGGAUUCAAAACACAAGAAACAUCCCUAAAAUAUAACAUUCUAACUGAUUUUCUUAAAGAUUGAUCUUUUUUAAAAGUCACAUAAGGGUAAUGAUUGAGGAAUGAUCUGCCACAUCUUGCAGCCUGUGAUGUAUUGUUCAGUGAUAUCAUUGUGGCCAACGAGGCACCAAAGAGCAGGCGAUCACAGUGACAUCAUGGCAGGAUCACUGACAAUGCUCGUGAUGUGACGAUUCUUUAUCAUUUAUAUGUUGGGCUGGUUAUAAAGUAUUUAAUUGGUAUUGUUCACAUUUAUAUCAUGUGAUGAGACAUUCUUGUCACCAUUAUUCAGUUUCUGAAUAUUCUUGGUGAAUGAUCUUCAGGGAGCCCUGGCUUCUGACCGAGGGUUUCUAUCCUUUGUCAAGCCACCCUAUUCCCUCACUUUUCAAUCACUUUACCUAUGACUAAUAGAAAGUUCAAAGCAAAAACCUAUUGAUUAAUUUUCAACUAGCAACAGAUAAUGAAACACAUUUUGCAUGUACAUUUUUGGAUUCCCAUUCUCCUGACCAAAGUAAAUUGGCUGGAAAUAAAAGACAUGUAAAAAAUCUCAUGCAGUUGUACUAAUUGAUCUGAGAGGAAAAAUGUAAAAUAUGUAGAUACCUUGAUUGUCUCCUCUUCAUCCCAUUGACUAGGGAGGGAUUCCACACUACGGUUAUGGGGAUGGCCCAAGAUAUGACAUCUAAUACUGGACAGAUGAGAUUGACAGUAGUGUACAGUCCAGGGGAGGAGAGGAAGAUACUGCACCAUGCAGGGCUGAAUGGGGAUGUGCUCAGGAACAGAGUGAAUAAGCAGACCCUGUGGAAAGCAGGCUUUAUAGUAGCAAGAGCAUGGAGUGACUCCUUGUUUCUCAGAUGGAUGUGAUCGGCUUGUUUGAAUAAUUCAGUGGGCUGGCAGGGAACUGAAGUCUACUACUCAGGGAUAAGCAGGCACUGUGCCUUGUCCUUGUAAUAAGGAGGGUUGUUUGGCUAGGACACCUUAUCAGUAGGAGCGAAGUGUGUAGGAUGAUGCAGUUAGGACAUCAGAGGCCCUCCCAGUUUAGAUGUCAAAGUAGCACAUCAUUGUUAUUUUAAGCCUUACACUACAACAGACAUCAUAUAAAGACACUUACCAAUUUGGACCAGGAGGCACAGCUCCCAUAACUUCUAUCGUCCAUCACUUUUUACCCCUGCUCGUAAGUCAAACAAUAAAGGAAAGUCCUCUCAAAGUCUUAGACAGAAUUAGGAGUGCUAAGAGCAUUGUUGAGGCCAUUCCUAGCCUUCCUUCUUGUUCAGAAACUACAGAUCGAAAGUCAAGGGGCCCUCCUUGGCAGCCUGCAGCUGGUGGCUGCCCUGUCUCCAGCAAAGGUUUUUCUGACUGUUCAGGCACACAACUGUGACUCCCCACGAGCAGACCCACUUACGUUUACCAAGACAAGAUAACAGAGUCAAUUAGCCUUGUCAGUCACUGUGACUAUAACUUAGAAGAAUAGAAGCCCACUGAUCACACUUAAUGAAAAUACAAGGUGACAAGAAAGUCAUCUGCAGCUGUUUAUGGACAAGAAUUUGGGGAAAAUGUAUUAAGAACAGUUAUAAUUAGAGAUACACACAAAAACAGAUAUGCUAUAUGCUAUAUUAUAAUAAAAUUGACAUUAUAAUAUUUACUAUAUUUACAUACUGAAUACAUUUAAAACAAUAAAAUUAAGUGAAAACAUUUUUGUUGUGCUUUUCUGUUCAGUGAUACUGUCUGGUUUUUUUAUUAAAGUUUUAAAUGUUAAAUGAUGACAUUUCAAAUACACAGCCAAGUACCAAAAUUAUUAAUAGACACUCAUGUACCAACCUACCAUAUUAACAGACAUUAACAUUUUGCUUUACUUGCCUUAGAAUCAAUUUUCUCUGUUUUAAAAAGCAGAAAGCAUUAAGCACAGAUAAAGCACCCCCAUCUCAUCCUCUACCUUUCUCUCCAGAGGUAACCAUCACCCUGAAGUUAGUAUGCUUCUUUUCAUGUAUGUACAUUUAAACUUAUGUUAAUAUUAUAUAGACAUGUCCAUAAAUUAUAUAUACUGUUAUUUUGUGUGCUUUAAAUAUUUAUACAAAUACUAGAAACCAUAUGGUACAUUUCCUUUUGUAACUUGCUUUUCUUGCCAACAUGUUUUGACAUUUAUCUGUGUUAAUAUAUUUAGAUCAAGUUUGUUCAUUUUAACUUUCUGUAGUAUUUUAUUACAUGAAUAAAUGAGUUUAUUUACUCAUUUGCUUACCGAGAACAGUGGUGUUUGUUUUUUCUUUGUUUUUGAAGCAACAAGAAAUAUAAUAGAAACAAUCUAUACUGCAAGGAAGAUUUUGUCCAAGUCUCCAUGGGCACAUAUGUAAUAGCCACUGUAGGCAUUAGCCCUAUAUUUGAUAGAUGGAAAAACAUUUAUUUUUGAUGGCUCA
RNAcentral lists this long non-coding RNA (3556 nucleotides) under Homo sapiens (human). Its description in RNAcentral is "HSALNT0326623". Lineage: Eukaryota; Metazoa; Chordata; Mammalia; Primates; Hominidae. The record is from RNAcentral.